UACGAGUGCUUCGAGCGUUAUCCGGAAUCAUUGGGCGUAAAGAGUGUGUAGGCGGCGAUGUUAGUCUCGCGUUAAAUCUUUCGGCUCAACCGAGAGUCUGCGCGGGAAACGGCAUUGCUAGAGGAUGGUAGGGGUCUCUGGAACUCUAGGUGUAGCGGUGAAAUGCGUUGAUAUCUAGGGGAACACCGAAAGCGAAGGCAAGAGACUGGACCACUCCUGACGCUGAAACACGAAAGCGUGGGUCGCGAAUGGG
Molecule: ribosomal RNA, 253 nt
Filed under: uncultured prokaryote
Description: partial 16S ribosomal RNA
Rfam family: Bacterial small subunit ribosomal RNA
Source: RNAcentral